Molecule: long non-coding RNA, 3804 nt
Filed under: Sorghum bicolor (sorghum)
Lineage: Eukaryota; Viridiplantae; Streptophyta; Magnoliopsida; Poales; Poaceae
Description: long non-coding RNA (SBIC_LNC017049)
Source: RNAcentral
GGGGUAUGUUCUAUUUGGGACCGUAGGAUCGCGAUCGAACGGCUGAAAAACGCCCAGGGGGACACCGCGGCGGCCGACCGGUCGGAACAGGGGCACCUGCGGCGGCGUUCCAUUACCAGCGCUGCAAGGUGGGCGGCGCCCGCCAAAAAAGGCGUUCCCGAGCGCCUAAAUUCCAAAGGAAAUUACCGAAAGGUAGAGAAGAACGUUGCGAUCUAACCUAGGAGUCCAACGCGGAUUGAGAAAGGCUAGGGAGGUGCGGCCGCGCGCGGAGGAGAGAAGACUCUCGGCAAGAUCCAAUUCUCAUGGAAAACGAAGCUAGGGCACGGAUUAGUUGGCUUAGAUGCGAAAGGAGUGUCACAGGGGUUGAUUUGGGAGUUUUAUAGGGCUCGGAUACGUGCGGAAGCUAGAAAUCCCGAGGAAACCGGGAUUUGCCAUGACCGGAGUCGUUGACAGAUGGGGCCAGUGCGUCAGCGGCAGGGAAGAGCGGGGCCCGUCGGUCAGUGAAAUGAAAAGGGAGAGAGGGGAGGGGGCGCGCUGCUGGGCCGGAGAAAGAAAUGGGCCGAGGGGCGAAGAGGGGCGCUGGGCUGGGUAGGGGGGAAGGAAGGCUGGGCCCUCGGGCCAGAAUAGAGAGAGGGGAAAGUUGUUUUCCUUUUUCUUUUGUUUGUUUUUUUCUUUUAUUUCCAAACCAUUUUCAAAUCAGUUUGAAACAAUUUUGAACUUUGGUCAAAUCACUCAUCACAAUAAAAAUGAAUUUUCUAGCAUGAACGCACAACCAUAUUUCUAAUCCUAUUAUAAAUUUUUAUUUUAAUGAAAAAUAUUAUUUUCCUAUGUUUCAUGAGCACCAAAAUACAAAAUUAAUCAUUUUUCACCUAUUUCAAAAGUUGUAAAUUUUUGGGUGUUACAGGAUCUCCGCAUAGUUGUUCCAUUCAACUUAUCUUUCUCAAGAAUUGAAUGCAAAGUAAAUGGUUGACUAGGCACCAUUUAUCUAUAACCAAAGUAACAGAGUAAAUAAUAUUAAAUAAAAUCUACUCUUUCUAUAAUCAAUAUCUCUCUAUUGGAACUUAGUGAUUUAAGACCCACAAUUAACAAGUCUACUAGUGAGCUUUAGCAUCAUCACUAGAAGACAUGGUAGAUAAGUAAGUAACUCCUUGCUAAUCAUAUCACGUAUGACUCUUAUUGUUGGGCAGCAUGUCUAUGCUUUGGCACCCAACUACUCAUGCUCCAAGGUCCCUAACCGUUAGGAUGACCUUGUUCAAGCAACCACCCUUUUUUGUAGUAAGUAUCUGAUACGAACCUAUCUAGUCAAGGAAAACCAGUGGCACCCUAAUUUCAUAGACCUACCACCGAUUGUACAAGACACAUGACAGAGCAAGGUUUGAGGGAGCAUGUAACUUAAACAAUGUUGAGGGAUUGUUCUACUUCAGUACCGCGCAUGUAGACAAAAACAUCAUCGCAUGUGAAAGUAAACAAAGUAAAGAACAAUAUUGACAUAGAUAUGACUUGGUAUAGCCCAUUGUUCUUUGGGGAUCUCCAUCUCCAUCGAACUGUCCAUCAUGAUGAUCUCCACCUCCAUGAUCCAUGUACACCAUCCUCUAAUAGUGAGUCCACCAAGACUAGCUAUCACUAACGUAACAUAGUGAAUUAAAAUUACAUAGUCAUGGAUAGAAUCAUCACAGUGUGGCACGUAGGCCUUUACAUCACAUUGAUAAUAUCUAUGUGGCUCUAGCCAUAUUGUCAUAAUCAUGACAUGCAAUCUAUGAAUUAAUUACAUACAUGCAUCACAUACACAUAUAGGCUAUACUAGUCAUGAAUCCCUGCAAAACAGAGUUAAUCAAUUUCAAUGUCUAAACUUAAACCGUUGAAAACUCCAUCUUCUCGGCUGUUUUUUGCAAAUCUAAUUUCACCAAACUCAUUGUAGCGGGCAAGAAAUGGAUGUAAAAUGUUUUUCUAGUAUUGCAACCGUCUAGCUUGGGGAAGGAGCAUCCCCUAGUUAUCACGUAAUUAUACCUAAGUGAUUUUGAGUCUACAUAGUCAUAAAAAUACCAAAAAUAUGUGGGCACAUGAAGGUCCACAAGUCAUAGAGUCUUUUUGUGAGUUUAUAAUUAGUUAAGUGUCAGAGUCUGUUUAGAGUCAUUCUAAACUAGAGCUAAACAAAAAUUGAUGAACAUUAAAAUUUUGUCUUGGAGAUAUAAAUAGUUGCUCUAUUAUAAUUCUUUACAAGUACGUAGAUUCCAACGGUAGAUUCUCUCGAGUUUUGGACAUGACUAUUUUAAUUUCAAGGUUUACUCUGAACCUGCAACUUGUGGAGGCAUAAGUUUGAGCUAAGUCUAGGUAGUUGGUUGAUAUGAUCAUUGAAAGUCUGAGCUGCUAUUUAUCUUAUUCCUAGCAUUAUUAAGUUCUAGAGAUUUAUUUUGAAAUUUUAAAAUUUACAUGAUGAGCUCUACAUGACAAGUUUGAAUUCCUACCAAAGUCAUAAAUAAUAUACAUUUAGAGUUAGGAAGACUUUCGCACAUUUAUGCUGCUUGCUUUGCAUUGAGUUCAGUCAACCUUGGUAGUAUACCUUACGAGAGUCUUGUCAUGCUUUUAAAACCAAGAUUAGGUACACACUUCAGUUCACAUAUGCAUUAUUCCCACACAAGAAGUAAUCACAAUCAUUUCCAUUCCAUGUUCACCAAUCAAACACCAACAUAAACCAUACCCAUAGGAUAAAGCCCAUCAUAAAUGCUCUAAGUUCUUAUUAUUACCUCUCUGAUCAUUUAUUGUAUUCAAAGGAAACAUGUGGCUAUGCAACAAUAUAAAAGAAAAAAAGGGGAGUAAAAGAUGGACAAGUGUCCGAGUAAUUAAAACAAUGGGUACUAGAUGCCUGCCUCCUUGAAUAAAAAAAUAAAAUAAAUAAAUAAUAUUAAUAAAGAUAGCCCAUGUUUUUUCCGCAAAAAGUUCCAAGAUCAAAAGAGAGAUUUAUUCAAGGAGCAAAAGUAGAAAUAGAAAUUAGCCACAAAUACCGCAAAAGCACCUAUCCACCAUAUUCCAUACACAUGCACAUCUUGGUUUGAUUGUAUGCCUUGAUUCUCUAUGGAUCCAUUAGUUGACUUUACAAUACAUGCAUUGCAAGUAUGUCUAUCCUUGUUAUUUGCACUCCUAUAAGCUCUACCAUAUAUAUAUAUAUAAUAUAUAUAUACCUUUAGCUAUAGGAGGCAUAACAUCAUUAAUGCCUCAAGAGAGGACCAUAAAUACCACAUACAUGGAGAGACUUGAGGGUGUCAUACAAUUAAGCUCUGAGUUUUAUUCUGAAAACUUAUAAAAACUCUAGAAUAAUGGUUCUGCAAAGAAUUUGAGACAUAGUGUUUGACCUGAUUGUUCUAUCUUCUGAUUGCUCAAGACUCAUGCAAAAGUUGUAAAGCCCCAUGGUUAAAGGUAAAAUGGGAAAGUUUGAAGAUUAGAGCAAUUAUUAACUAACCCGGAGGAGAAUCUCUGUUUGAGAGCCUGUGUACUUGGAAAGAAUAAAAACAUUGUAGCAACUCUUGAUCCAAAUACAUAUAUUGCUUAGGCUUGGUUUGCCAAGGGACUGGCAAAAGGUAAGCUUGGGGGAAUUGUUGACGGUCGAUAACGUCAACUUUUAUUAGAACUUUAAACCCGAAGGAGAACAUGAAAACACACUAGUCUAGGGUUUGAACUGACAAUUUCCACGAGUUUUGCAUAUUCUGUAUUUUCCAGGGUCUAUUUCCAGAAAAGCUGAAAAGAGGGAUUCAAGUGCAUAUUACCACAAAACUUAUCCGCCAUGAAAAAUAUCAUGAACGGGACGGG